UCUCCUUUAUCACUAAUUCAAGACCAUACAUUAUGGUUGUAAGUAAACGGCGCCCAUCUUGUCUUCCUUGUUCCUUAUUCUCCACACACCUAAGAUGCGUCUCUAUCCCCUGUUUCCUCUGUUUUUGUGAGAGAGAAAAAUGGAGUUUGAUCAAAGAAAACUACCAAGAUCAAGAAUGAACUCGUAUGCAAACUACAAGAUUCAAUUAGUAAAAGGGGAAAAACAUGAUUUAGGUCCUCCAAUACCACCUUCUCCACAAGUUCUCGAUAACCUAAACCGACAUAAUGGAAGCGGAACCAGCUUCAUCAUCAUGGCUUGUGUGUUUGGUGGUGCAGUUCUUUUGGGAAUCCUAUGCCUAGUUUCAAGACUUUGCUACAACAGGCAUCAAAAUUCAAGAAGGUCAAGAAGUCUACCAGUAUUUUUUGGUACCCAAGAGGAUUUUCUUGAUGAAGAUCAAGGAACAGAAAUCAACCAUCACAUAUGGUACAUCAACUUCUCAGGUCUCCAACAAUCUGUGAUCGACUCAAUAACAGUCUUCAAGUUUAAGAAAGACGAAGGGCUGAUUGAUGGUACAGAGUGCUCUGUUUGCUUGAGUGAAUUUCAAGAAGAUGAGAGUCUGAGACUUUUACCAAAGUGUAGCCAUGCUUUUCACAUGCCUUGUAUUGAUACAUGGUUAAGAUCACACAAGAAUUGCCCUCUUUGUCGUGCCCCGGUUGUAGCCGACAAUUUUGAUGCUCAAGUUGCUUUAACGGUGUCUACUACAGGUGAUUUGAGUUCGAGGGAAGAACCCCAGAUGGAAAAUUCUGAGAAUAAUACUCCCAGUGGACUAAUGAGCAGUAACCAUGCAGGAGAAGAUGGAAGCAGUGAAGUGAGAAAUGGAGAAGAAACCAUCUGUGGAUUACCAGUUGUAGAUGAAUCAAAUGCUGGAAACUCUAGCUGGAAUUCGAACCACUUUAUAUCGAGGAAUCCUCGGAUACGAAGUGAUUUAGUUGACAAAUUGGUUGUGGUAGAAGAAGAAAUGCAACCUGUGAGGAGGUCUGUGUCAUUGGAUUUCUCUACAGCUUCUGCAAUUUAUAGUGUGCUUGCUAAUGUUGCUCCUGGUAAAUGUCAAGCUAACUCGGAUAGUUUAUUGGUGCAACCAAAGCAGCCGAAAUCGAAGAACGCUGCGAAGAGGGGAGGUAGUGGCUUUCACAAGCUGAUGAAAAAUUCUUCUACAAGACGUUCAUUGCAGAAGGGGCCAAUUUCAAUGAAAAGAUCUUUGUCAAGUAGUGGGAAAUCCUUGUCAUCAAGAUGCAGCAGAAGCCAGAACACAAUCCACUCUUUCUGAUUUGCAGUGUUGUCUCACCAUAUCAUGUUAGUGAACUGCAGAAUCAAGAAGCCUAGAAUAUAUACUUAUCUUGUUUUAAUUUCGCACUGAGUUAAAUAUUGAUAAAAUCAUAAAGUGAAGUUUGAAUAUUUACGGACACUGGGAAGUCUUGAUCUGAAAUGUAGUUUUGGUUUUAUGUUCAUGUUCGCUGUUGCUCUGGUGGUUUUGGGACUCAGAUUCCUGCUGGUCAAGUUUUUGGAAGCUCAAUUUCUGGUCAUGUUUACUUCCAUUUUGGUGUCUCACACCACCUUCCAUCUGGGCUUUUGUUACUUGCGUUGUAUUCCUGAUGAACUGCCUUUUGUGUGCUUUUCCUUUUUGGUUCCUUUGAAUGAAUAAGUUUCUCUCUAUAUUGAAAUAGAAAAGAAGUCCUUUAGACUGGACCUCUAACAUUGCCUUAAACUGUUCCAGAAUAUUUAUCAGAAGCAUGUAUGCAGUAGCUUCACUCUUGGUUGUCGGUGGUGAUGACUGAA
Populus euphratica (Euphrates poplar) is the source of this 1836-nucleotide RNA transcript. It is a transcript of the gene named E3 ubiquitin-protein ligase RING1-like, with no coding region annotated. Lineage: Eukaryota; Viridiplantae; Streptophyta; Magnoliopsida; Malpighiales; Salicaceae. The record is from RefSeq and is a predicted model, not a curated record. The transcript is spliced from 2 exons.